RNAcentral lists this long non-coding RNA (201 nucleotides) under Lathyrus oleraceus (garden pea). Its description in RNAcentral is "Pisum sativum (pea) long non-coding RNA (PSAT_LNC002196)". Lineage: Eukaryota; Viridiplantae; Streptophyta; Magnoliopsida; Fabales; Fabaceae. The record is from RNAcentral.
UUCUUGCUCGUUAUCAACCAAAGCUUCAAAUACAUCGGAUUCAGAAUUGGUGGAGAAAUGGUCAUUAUGUUCAAUGUAGCUCUUUUCCAAUAUAUAUCACCAAUUUCAAAUUUGUAAAGAUCUAUGGAGUCUUGCCAUUCGCAGACUACCAUUCUAUCAAAUAAAUUUGAGUCUUUUAUCCAAUUAUUGGCACUCUUAUCU